UCUCAUCAUUAUCAAUUACUGAAUGGAAUGAUAGCACUGUUUGACCAGUUGGAUCAGGUACAGAAACAUUUUCAACAGUAGAGCGUCCAUCUGGUAAUGGCUCUGCCAAAUAUGGGAAAAAACAGACAUUUUAGUGAGGAAACACAGUAGCUCAAUUCUAAAUAUAAUCAAGACACAAAAACAUUAACCAGUGAAAAUGCACUUGGAAUAAUGGCAUUAUUUGCAAUUCUUCCUGGUAGAAGAGGAAACAGAAGUCAACUCUGUUUCCAGAUUCCAUCAAACUGUUAAUAAAUAUUCAAAAUUAACCAGGAUUUUUACAGAUUGAUCAUGAAAACAAUACAUGAGUUAUAACUAGUCCAAACAACAAGAGCCUACUAUUAAAUAAUUAAAAAACAAAUCAAACAAAAACUAAUAUCUGGGGUUAAGCCAGAAACAUUCUAUCAAGUACAGAUCAACUUUUUUCUUACUAAAAAUAUAUAUAUUUAUCACAUAAAAUAUUCAAACGUACAAGUAAAUGUGAGGAUGAGAUUAAAAGCACCAAACAGCUAACAUCCAACACAAAGAUAAAUACAAGUUUCACAUAUCCAUGCUAAUAUCACUUUAACAUAUACAAGCCAAAAGGCCCAAACGGUUGAUAUGCUACUCUGGCUUCAUGGAGAUCAGAGUCAUAAGUUCAAUCAUAGAUAUCAUAGAUCUUGUAUGGCCUACACCAAAAAUUUGGUGUUGACUAGACACUGGUAUAAAAAAAAAAUUAUUGAUCUGUAGACCUUAUGUAAAUAAUGGUAUAGCAAUUAUACAGUAAUUUACUUAAUUCAUAUAAAUAUCAGGACUGAACUGGAAGAUAAAGGAACAUAAGGUCUACCAGGAUGAACUGCUGUAGCUGCAACAUCAGCAUGUAGCUUUUCAUCUAUAGACGAACUAUCGUUUAAUUUUGUCAAAGCAUAACCAUUUGGAACCUUUUUUGGAGGAAGAGAAAUUACAGCAUCCACCUUUGGCUCCCUAAUGGUC
Molecule: long non-coding RNA, 1008 nt
Filed under: Daucus carota (carrot)
Lineage: Eukaryota; Viridiplantae; Streptophyta; Magnoliopsida; Apiales; Apiaceae
Description: long non-coding RNA (DCAR_LNC000866)
Source: RNAcentral